Molecule: transfer RNA, 34 nt
Filed under: Anaphes nitens
Lineage: Eukaryota; Metazoa; Arthropoda; Insecta; Hymenoptera; Mymaridae
Description: partial tRNA-Leu
Source: RNAcentral
AAAAUUCUAAUAUGGCAGAUUAGUGCAUUGGAAA